Molecule: long non-coding RNA, 10761 nt
Filed under: Brassica napus (rape)
Lineage: Eukaryota; Viridiplantae; Streptophyta; Magnoliopsida; Brassicales; Brassicaceae
Description: long non-coding RNA (BNAP_LNC002281)
Source: RNAcentral
AGUUUGAGCAAUAUUAUAGAUCCUAUUUAAUACUCCCAGCUUCUUCCACAACGAACCUGAUAGCUAUUUAAGAACAGUUAUUGUAAACACAUGUGAAAUGUACAUCAAAAGAUAAGGGACCCUGUUUGGUAUUUUUGAUCAGUUCACCAUAACUUUCCAACUAUGUUAGCAGCUUGGUAGUUCAAUCUUUCAACUGUCCCAGACCACGUGGGAUCGCAAAUUAUACAUGAUUUCGUAAUGACUUAGUACAACUGUGAAGGCAUGUUUGGACAUUCUAUACUAGAUUAGGAAAAAUAUUUCUUGUUAAACCAAUCAAUAUACAUUUGUGAAGAAAAGUAAGGAUUAUAAAUAAUGCUUCUAGUACAUUAAACAGUGUGAUUCCCCAUGUAUAACCCGCCACCCUAUACUCAAUGGGGUCAUCUGACCCAUAUCAAAUCUACAAAAUCUUAAAUUUAGGCUUAAUAUCAUACUAAUUAUUGUGGUCUAUUGGUUAAACUCUUCUUUUAUGACCCCCGUGUCUUGAGUUCAACACUCUCAUAUACUCCCUAUGUUUUUUAAUAUAAGUUGUUUUAAAGAAUUUUUAUGUUCCAAAUUAUAUAACAUUUUUGCUUUUUUAUGUAAAAUUUAUUAACACUUAAUGUUAUAUGACCAAUAAUAAUAUACCUUCUAUUUUAUUAUUGGUUGAUUUGUGGUUAAAUAAAUAAUUAAUGAUGUUUUUUUAAAAAAAUAUAAAAAACUAAUGAUUUUCUUAAUCUAUGUACACAAUUCUAAAACGGUUUAUAUUAAAAAAUGGAGAAAGUAUCAUUUUAUCUAUAUAUUAAAUGAAUAUUGACCCAUGUGGAACAUAAACCUAGCUCCCCCAAUGUGUAUAACUCAUAUUGAAUUAAAUGAACUUUCAACCUAAAACCAAUUGGUGAUAAACGGAUUGGUAUAUCUAUUUUAUACAUUACUUAGGAUGCAUUCCAACUAUACUAAUGUAAGAGACUUAGCCUCUAAUACAAUCCUCGAGAUGAUAGUUAUUUAAACGUCAAUCUCAGAAUGUUUGAAAAAUGAUCAAUGUGCCAAUUUUGGCUCAAAUAGAUUUGGAUCGGAUUGGACUGUAUGGAUCGAGCUCAUACAAAUACACUACUAGAUUUAAGUUUGAACUAGAUUCUGAUUCAUUAAGACGCAUAUUAUGUUUUUUUUUUAUAAAACCGGCGAAUUAAAUUAUUGUGAUGUUAAACAGUUAUAUUUAGAGGGUGAAUGGUUGAGUUUUAUCUCUUUAUCUUAGUUUUAUUUAUUUUUAAAUCAGUAAAAUUUAUUGUUAAUAGUUAAAUCCUAUAUCAAAUUUUUAUUAAUUAUUACCAAUCAUGCUUUACAUUUAUAUUUAAAUCUACAACAAAAAAAAAGUAAAAACAAUUAUGUAUUUUAGACAAAAAAAGCUUACAUCUUAUUUUAUAGGUUCCAGAAUCUGUAAAAUAAAAAUUACUAUUUAUUAUAUCAAAUAAAUUAGAUAAUCAUAAUAAAAACAUAUAUAAAUAUUUUUAUUUAAUUUUGAGUGCUUUUAAAUUAUCGAAAUAUUUUAAAUAACAUAAAUAUUAUUUACAUAUCACAUUUUACAUAACAGUAAACUUUGAUUAUUUCAUAUAAAAAAUAGUUAAUAUAAAUUAUUUUAAUUGAUAAAAAAAAUAUUUAAUAUAUAGAUCACAUAUUUUAUUUUAAAAUAUCUACAUCUUAUAUAUUUUACAGUGAUAGCAAAUUUACCUAAUACAAAAAUCUCUGCAAAAAAAAUUUGCAUUAACAAUUUUACAUCUACAACCAACUUAUCAAUAUCUAAACUCUUACAAUUCAUAAAUGUCGUUUGUCGUUCAGAUGCAUAAUUACCAGUUUGGUUUUCAGAGUAAUAGUUAAGUUUGUUCAUAUUAAUGGCAAAAAAAAAAUUACAGCUAAAUUUUACAGACACGGUCAAAACCAAUCAUCACAUUAAAUCAUUAAUGUUUUGUUUUGGACUUGUAUUACUAAUGUAGUGAUCAGUCAUAUCCGGUUUUAUUAUUACUUAUGUAUAAACGUGACAAAUUCCAUGGAAAAUAACUUGUGUGUAUAAUAUCAUGUGAAGAUAACUUUGUGUAUAAUAAUCAGUUCGAAUAUUCUAAUUUUAAUGUGAAGAUUGUAAAUAUAUUUAUCGUUAAGUUUUUGAAGAUAUUUCUCUCUGUAAAAUAGUAAAUAGUAGGGCUGGGCAAAUAAACCGAAUCCAAAAACCCGAUCUAAAUCCGAUCCGAUAAAAAUGAAUCCGAACCGAUCCGAACCCGACGUAAAUAUCGAAUAAAUCUUGUUUUGUGGUAUUUCGGGUUAUGGGUAUUAUCCGAACCGAACCCGAAUCUAAAUAGAGUUUAGACCAAAAAAAAUAGUAAAUAGAGUUGUUGUUUGUUACCCACCAAUAAAUGUUUUUAAAAAUAUAAGGAAGUUCAGAUUUUUAGUUAUUAUAAUUUAACACAUUCGACUGAAUAUUCCUUUCGUGUUCAAAUUUAAUUAAUUUUAUAUUUAUUGUAAUUCAAUUAUGUAGUUUUAAGAUUAGAUUGUUUAGAUUCGGUAAUGAUUGUAGGAUUUAGAAUUUAAAAACUUAAUAAUAUACUCAAAACAAAAUCUGCGAUUAAUAUUCUAAAUUAAUGGAUUUGGGAGGAUAUUAUUUAAUUAUAAUGUAAAUAAAGUAAAACAAAAAUUAAAAAAGAGGUACAGUUUCUUUUAAUUAUAUUUCGUAUAAUUAAGUGGAAUUGGCAGACUACAUUUCGAACAUAACAUCAUAGCUAUUUUUAUAUAUAGUUUAGAUUUUUUUUAAAUGAACAUAUGUUAAUAAAAAUACACAACUUACAUUUUUAAAAUCUAACAUUGUAAAACGAAAUGUCUAUAUUGAUUAUGUUUGGUAUAAGUAUAAUGGACGAAAAAAAAGAAGUAUAAUGGACGACCAAGUAUAUAUCAAAUCUAGUAAUUUAUAUAAUUGAGUGUUAAGGAAAAUUUUGGUAUAUGAAAAAUAAAGGACAAUGUCAGUAUACUAAAUUUUAAAAAAUAAUGUAAAAAAUAAAGUUUUAGAUUCAUGGGUGUAUUUUGUCACUUGGUUAAAAUUUGUUCAUAUCAUUCGAGACAGUAUAUAAAUUCCGUAAAGAACAUGCCUUUUUAUAUAUCACUAGAGAUUUUUUCCGCGCUUCGCGCGGAUUGUGUCUUAUAAAUUUAUUUUAUUUAUAAUAUUAUUUGUCGGUUUGUUUCUUUUACAUUAAUUUUUUGUUUUUCCAAUGUUAGUUUUUCUUAAUUUAAAUUUAUAUGUUUAUAGUUUUUCUUUUUUCUGGUUGUAGAUGGAGAAUUAUAUUUUUUAUUGAUGGUUUUUGUAUGUGACAUAAACUUUUUGAAAUUUUAAAAUAAUGUUAUAUAUAGUACAAUUAACACAUUAAAGAAGAGAAACAUAUUUAAGCACAUUUUAUACAGGUUUUAUAUACAUAAUUUUAAACAUUAUAUAUGUAUAUAUUAUAAGUUUGAAACAUGUAAAUGCUUUCUAAAGUUAAAUACUUGUUCUGAGUUUACAUAACUUAUCGAAAGUUUUAUCUUUUUUAAAUUUAAAUCACAGAAAAAAAAAUUGAGAACUCUAUUCAUAUAAGAUUCACAUCUAUGCAUUUUGACAAAGAAGAAUUUUAGCCAUCUUUAGUUUCGGAAUGAAUCAACUUCAGUCAUAUACACUAUAUUUUCUCUAUGAUUCAAAUCUUACAAUUUUAAUAUAUGUGCAGAUUUCCAUGUGAAAAAACACGCACGCCAUCUAUCGUUCAACCUAUUACUUUUUCCAAAGUAAACACUAUAAUCCUCGUUUGGUUAGCUCCACAAACUAAUCUCUUUGGAUCAGUGUAACCUUUCAGAAAAUGAUAAUCUUAACAUCUUACAAAAAAAACAACAAAUAUUGACUUAUUUAUAUGAAUAUAUAUUAUUUUAAAUCAUUAUAGUGGACGAAGAAAGCACCAUAAUUUGUACAACAAAUUUUCUUAGAUUCACUUCAUCAUAUUCACCAUUUUACCAUUUUAAUUACAUAAUUUUAUAUGAGCUUCUUCACCUUUCCCGGUUAUUUUCUCUUUAUUUAUAACUACAAUAUAAAGUUAUAAACUAUAUAUAUAUUAUAAAUUAAUAAUUUAUUUACUCUUAAAGUAACGAUUAAAAAUAGAACAUAAUUCAAUAUAGAUAUAUGAUUCUAUUAAUAAAUUAGCAGUUACAAAUUUGAAAUUUUUAGAAAUAUCAAAAGUUUUAUAUUAGUUAAUUAUCUUCUAAAUGACAUUUAUUUUUAAUUCUUUUUGGAUGAGAAUAUUUUGGCUGAGGUGGAUAGUUUCAAAAGUCUUGAAUUUAGUCCCUUUUAUAUAGUAGGAUGUAUUUUAUAAUUGAUUAGUUCCCUUCCCAUACAGUACAUGAAUUUAUUGAGCCAACAUGUUUAGUCGAAUGUAUGUAGGUGCUAUUAAGUCAAAUUAUAAUAGGUUUGUUAUUAUUAUUAUUAUUUAGAUUAAUAAGUUUGUUAUUAUUAUUGUUAUUAUUAUUGUUAGAUUAAUAACUUGUCAUAUAUAAUUUUAAUAGUCUUUUCUGUUAAGCUAAAUGGAUAUCCCCUCCCCCCUCUCCCCUCGAAACGAUGGUUAUUAAUUUGAACAUCAAUUUUGAAAUGUUCGGAAAAUGGUCGAGUACCAAUUUUGGAUCGGGUUGAUGUGGAUUGGAUAAGAUUACUUGUAUCAAAUUCUAAAACUAUGUUAAAUUAGAUAAACUUUUAACUUAUAAUUAAUUGGUGAUAAAUAGAUUAUUUUAUCUAUAUUAUAUUUGAGAUCUUUUUGAACUUCCGAUGUAGAGAUUUUGUCUCUAAUAUUUUUGCAUUUGAAAAUGAUAAAAUUUUUACCAUUUUUAUAUUUUUUUUUAACAUGUUCAUUUCAAAAACAAAUUGCUUAACAUGUAUGGUCUGAAAAAUAUAAUGUAUACAAUAUAUUAAUAAUCAUGAGUUAACAGAAAACAGAGGAAGUAUUUAUACCCCCUACUUUUAGCGGGAUUCAAGUCCAACUAAUCAUACACACAGUAAAUACGAAAUUAAAUGAUUAAAUAAAAUACAUUUAAAUAAUAACCUAACUCCCCAACACUAUUUAAUCAACAUGGAUAAUACGGGAGACAAAACCCUUGUACUAAUAUAUAAGAGCCAAGUAUGGCUGAAAGCAAGAUUGGGGUAUAGUCAAAAUAAGAGCGAGAAGACAUGGCGAGAGAGAAGCAAGCAGAGAUAACAAUAAUGGAGCCGCUUAGCCCAGUGUCUCGGCUGUUUGUUUCGCCCGGUUUCUAUGGCGUCAUUGUCUUUACUUUAGGGUUUAAAACUAGAUGCAACUCAUCUGCCAUUGUUGAAGGUAUCAAGAACACAUGGAUCAAGCUUCCCCGCUUCUCUAGCAAAGUGGUAAACAUAUAUUAUUAUUAACAUGCUUUAAUGGAAACAUUGUUCUUAGUUAGUCACCAAAUGCAAACGAUGUGGUUAUAUAUCUAACCAUUUCCAUGUGCUCUACAAAUAUUUUACGGUUUUUUUUUGCUAAGAAGGUUAAUAUUCAUAUAAUAAAAAGUUAAGACUUUACAAAUGCACAUAUUUUACUUUGCAGGGAGAUUUCAUUGAUCUAUAUAUAUAUAAAUUCUUUGGGUUCACUGAUCCUCAUAAUGUCAUUCGCUCUCUUUUAUCUAUUUAUUUAUUUAAUAAACUAUGCGUAAUCAUCUAUUUGAUCAUAAAUAAAUGUUUCAGGUGAUGGACGAUAAGAAAAAUGGAGAAGCGGUUUGGGUUCCUGUUAAUGUUCGAGUAGAAGAUCAUGUUUUUGUUCCGGACAUUGAUCAUUCUGACAUUACAAACCCUGAUCAAUUUAUAGAAGACUAUACGUCAAACAUAGCUAACACUCUAAUGGACAUGUCCAGACCUUUAUGGGAAUUUCAUGUACUGAAUAUAAAGACAUCAAACGCAGAAUCUUUAGGUAUAGGGAAGUUCCAUCAUUCACUCGGCGAUGGGAUGUCUCUUAUGUCUCUUCUAUAUGCUAGUUCAAGAAAAAUAUCAGACCCCAACGCUCUACCUACUACUGCGACUACAAGAAAACAAGUUGGUUCCAAUGAUAAUUGGUGGCUGGUUGCCAGAUUUUUGCUUAUGAUUAGAGUCAUUUUUACAACUUUUAUUGAACUGUUCAAGUCCCUCCUUACACUAUGUUUUAUGCGGGAUACUAAAACUCCUCUCAUGGGUAAACCUGGAGAUCGAAAUGGACCUAGAAAGAUUAUCCAUCGGAUAGUAAGCUUUGAUGAUGUCAAGUUCGUGAAGAACACAAUGAAAAUGGUAGAUAUAUUAGUACUUUUUAUCAGUUCUACUUGUCUUGAUCAUUAGUCGUUUUCUAAACAAAUUAUGCCUCAUUGUAGAAAGUCAAUGAUGUUCUUCUUGGAAUAACACAGGCAGGUCUCUCAAGAUAUUUAAGAAAAAAAUAUGGUAAUUUCAGACUCAUUCUUUCAUUAUAGUGCUAUUGGCCUUAUAUAAUCAACAUGUUACAAUGUUACCCAAGUAUCUGUAUGUUAAACAGAUGUAAAGCCUGAGAAAUAAAAGAGUGAAUAUAUGAUCCAAUGUAUAUUGAUACUACACUAUUAGUUUUUUUUGUAAUAUAUCAUUAACAAUAAUCUUUAAUAUUUUAAAAACAAGGUGACGAUCCAGUGACUGAGAAGAAAAAAUCCUUAGAGGAAACACGUCUCCGGGGUACAAUAGCUGUAAAUCUAAGACCAGAAACAAAGAUCAAGGUAAAAUAAGUAUUACAACGAUCUUAUAGUUGCAUCUUACAAAACGAUAUGUUUUACGAUAAUUAGAGUGCAAUAACUUGAUAAAAUUAAAUAUGAAACUGUAGGAUCUUGCUGAUAUGAUGACAAAAGGUUCAAAAUGUAGAUGGGGUAAUUUCAUAGGUGUUGUUAUAUUUCCUUUAUGGAUAAGAUCUGAGGAUGAUCCAUUGGAAUACGUCCGGAGAGCCAAAGCUACUAUGGAUAAGAAAAAAAUCUCCAUGGAAGCACUUGUGUUAUAUGGAUUCAUCAAAUUUACAAUGAAAAUAUUUGGCGUAAAGGUAAAAUAUCAAGCUAUUUCAUCCAUAUAUGUAUACUUUAUGUAAGUAAAAAGAAUGUACAACUUUUAAUGACAGGCCGUAGAAGCUAUCACUAAGAGGGUAUUUAGCCAUACAACGCUGACAUUUUCUAAUGUGUUGGGUCCAAACGAAGAUAUAAGUUUCUUUGAACAUCCCAUGUGUUACGUCGGAGCAAGCGCAUUGAUUGGACCACAAGUAAGUAUAAGUCUAUAAUCAUGUCAUUCUAGUACUUGCAUAUUAAAUCUGUUUUUUUUCCUUUCUGAAAUCAUAUACAAGUACUUGCUGACAUUUAAUAAAUGUGUUUACGUUUGUGGUUGGACUAGGCUCUUAUCAUCCAUUAUGUAAGCUACGCAGACAAGAUUAUCAUCAAUCUAGCUGUCGAUACAACAGUGAUUCCAGACCCUCAUGUACUAUGUGAUAAUUUGGUAGAGUCGCUUGAAAUCAUCAAACUUUCUCUCUUGGAGAAAGGACUUCAUAAAAUGGAGGUUUGAGACGUUCACGCGAUAUAAAAAUGGAAGUCUACGUUAAAAAGAUAACAUGUGGUGAAAUGUACUAUGUUAGCUUUUGUAUUUGUUAUGAUGUUGUGUUUAUUAUAUUAUAUAUAUACAUAUUCUACUUUGGUAGUAUAAACUUUUUAUUUGUAUACGAAAAAAGCAGACAUGUAGCAUUUACACAAGACGACCAAACGUAGACCACAAGCACCACUAACAUAUAUAUUUACAUAAUCAAUACCUAUUUUCAUCAGCAAACAGAAUUCGAUUCCCUUUUGCCUUGGAAUUAAAGGAACUGUUCAAGGGCUUGUGUACCAUUGCUGUUCAAGAGCUUCAUCAUGAAGUUAAACCUGGUGUCUGGAGAUGUCUUUGGUUGUGGCCAAUUUGCUCCUUCAGGGAUCUUGAUGCAUCUGUAACUUUGAUCUUUAUAAAGUUUCGUGGCCUCCGUAUAGCUCGACAUCCCCAGUUCGUGGCUUAACCCUCUGCUUUCCAGAUCAGUACUCUCGUAUCUGGAGAUGCCUUUGGUUGUGGCCAAUUUACUAACUGUCACAGCGACUAAACAUAUCCCUCUGGUAGGCACCCUGGUGGAACGGAGAAACCCAUUAUCAUCGCCAUCAACCUAUCAACUCUGAGGACAAGAUCAAGAGGGAACGAAUGUCCAGGGAAGAAGGAGGUGCAAUGUGUUUCUGCCACUUCCCACCAGUCCUCCACUCUAUCUUCCCGGACAACAAUUUCAGGUGAAACCACUGGGAAAAGAUCAAGUACAAACCUAAAAGAAAAGAACAACUUUAUCGUCUACUGACGAAUCAAAUCAUGUCGUAUGUUAAAGGAUGGGAGCUUUCAUGGAUCAUCAAUUACGACUAGAAGCGAUCUCUUCGAAUGAGACUCCCCCUUCCAUCUAUCAGUCAAAUUCUGUCUGUCCUCAGAACUUACAUGACUCUACUCUCCAGACAUAAAAAACAGUUUUGUUUGCUAUCCUGAUGUAUCUUGGGUAGAUAAUUAGCACUCUGCAGGCAUAGUCUGGGGCUUUAAAAGACUCCUGUAAUAAAAUCCUGCUUCAGGGAUCAGCUUCAACUGAUGCUACAGAUACAGUUUCAAUUUUGUUGGUGUAAGGUAAUGUUUUGUGGAAACUGCUCAGCUCUUUUUGUGGAGACUGUUCAGAAGCUGAUAGACUUGCAACUCAAGCUAGAACAGGAAAAUAACCAUAUGUUGUAAAGUGGAUCACAUAAAUAUUUGUCUGAGUCUGUUUGUACAACACUUAUAUAAGUUUCUCUAUAAAUAAUAAUAAUAUUUAAGGUUUAACUAUAAUUAGAAUUGUAACUCGAUCAAAAUCAAAGCCCGUGAAAUCUAACUCGUUGUUCUCUAGAACUCAGUCUAGUAGCAGCUAACGGAGAGUCAUAGAUCAUAAUGCCUUAGGUCAAACCUGAUUUGCUAGACGGAGUUUGAGAAACAGAAACCGUCGGCGAGAGAAGCCAUGACGGUUUUGCUUGAUCAAAGCUGAUGGGGAUAGCUCCGUCGUCCCCAUUCCCCAACGGCGUGCUCUGCAUUUCUCACCGCACUAUUACGGAGAUGGCAACAACAAAACCGGACGGUUCAACCGGUUCAAUUCGUUAGUAAGAAUCUUGAAAAAAUUACAAUAUGACAUACUUUUUCGUUCUCUACUAGGUGAUUUUCCAGUGAUUAUGCAUGGAUAUAAAUAUUUUUAAAGUAAAUAUAUUAUAAUAAUUGAUUGUUAAUUACUUUUAAUUUUAAAUUAAUUUAUAAUUGAGUAUUUGCAUGCUAUAUACAAGAAAAACUAUUUAAUUAGCUAACCGGUAUAUGCGACUGUUUAGUACUGUUAUUUUUUCGUUAUUUCCAAUUGUAUCCCUCUAUUAUAGCCACUGCACAAUAUUAUUUCUCGCAUUUAGGACAACACACAAUCAUCUCUUUCCUCUUUGAUUCAUCACCGUAAAUAAACAAAGACAACACACAGAAAAAAUAAAUCAUUGAUAACUUAAGACACGAGUUGGUGUACAUUUUCUAAUCGUGAGAUGAUCAAUGGCAGAGAGAUGCUUAUUAAUUCCAGUAAAGUUGCAGCACACCAAGAAUCAUUUGACAGAGAAGCCAUGUCUUGUGAUCCUAGCUUGAGUGGCUUAGGUUCAGAUAGCUUACAAGUUAAGUAAAUAAAUCGCCUAAAAUAGAAAUAAGAAUCCUCACUUCUUUUUUUUAACGCUGAUAAGAAUCUUCACGUUAUCUUCUAAUCCUGUAUAUUAAAAGAUAAACAUUAUAACAUUUAAGGUAGUCAUGUGUCAUCACCACAAUGAGUCUUAAAAUCUUUAGAAAAAUAUAUUGGUUCAUCUAAAUAUAUAAUAAGUUUUUUAUUAAACUAACCAUAAAUUCAUUAUUAAUGUCUUUCACUUUUUCUUUAAAUAAAAACUACGGAAUUACCAAAUGUAGCUAAAGUAUAUAUAUGAAAAUUAAUGAUUUUGAAUAAUAAAUAUUUGAUAAAAGUUAGUGUAUUCUCUAUCAUAUUUGUUUAAUUUUAAAUUAAUAAAAUAAAUUAAACAACUACAUUAACCAUAUAAUAAAAUUUAUAUUUUUCUUUAUAUGUUAUAUUUGAUUUUUUAAACGAUUAUAAAUUACUACUCUCUUUUAUCUAUUUAUUUAUUUAAUAAACUAUGCGUAAUCAUCUAUUUGAUCAUAAAUAAAUGUUUCAGGUGAUGGACGAUAAGAAAAAUGGAGAAGCGGUUUGGGUUCCUGUUAAUGUUCGAGUAGAAGAUCAUGUUUUUGUUCCGGACAUUGAUCAUUCUGACAUUACAAACCCUGAUCAAUUUAUAGAAGACUAUACGUCAAACAUAGCUAACACUCUAAUGGACAUGUCCAGACCUUUAUGGGAAUUUCAUGUACUGAAUAUAAAGACAUCAAACGCAGAAUCUUUAGGUAUAGGGAAGUUCCAUCAUUCACUUGGCGAUGGGAUGUCUCUUAUGUCUCUUCUAUAUGCUAGUUCAAGAAAAAUAUCAGACCCCAACGCUCUACCUACUACUGCGACUACAAGAAAACAAGUUGGUUCCAAUGAUAAUUGGUGGCUGGUUGCCAGAUUUUGGCUUAUGAUUAGAGUCAUUUUUACAACUUUUAUUGAACUGUUCAAGUCCCUCCUUACACUAUGUUUUAUGCGGGAU